UUAUGUGCUAAUGAUACCUUGGACGUAAAACCAGCUCGACAAUAUCGAUUGAACACAGUAGUUUUGUUAUCUUGCGCGGGCCAGCCGGGCCAGUCGGACCCCGUGUUCCAGAGGAAGUUGACAGUAUGAUUGGUUUGAAGAGGAGCCAUCGUUAGCAUUCAUGUAGCGGAACCGCAAAGUUUUCCCGCGCAAAUGCGUAUCACUGAUUUUUAUGAAUUCUUCAUCGCUCCACAGAUUUCAAAAGGUAUCAAGAAAUAUUUGCUUCUAAUUAAAGAUCGUCAUUUUGAAAAAAUCAAGCGGAAAAGUAAAUAGAGCAUAGUCGCACAAUGAAGAGGACUGAGUGAAGAUGAUAUACGAAUGGAAGUGGAGGCAAGACUGAACGAUGACGACGAG
This is a long non-coding RNA of Cataglyphis hispanica, 393 nucleotides long. RefSeq lists it as uncharacterized. The record is from RefSeq and is a predicted model, not a curated record. NCBI's taxonomy places the organism in Eukaryota, Metazoa, Arthropoda, Insecta, Hymenoptera, Formicidae. The transcript has 3 exons.